CAGAUCUAUUUGUGUUUACCUCUGGGAGGUUCAGCACACACACAUCUGUACAUACAUUACAUGAAUUAAAAUUUUAUGCAUGGCCACACGUAAAUCAUUUAGAGGCCUUUUGCUGCCACUUCUAUGGUCGACACUUUGGUUUCUUGUCCUCUCAGACCAGCAGGUGGAGGUGAAGGUGAGGGAAGGAUCAGAGUCUGUCAUCCUGCCCUGCAAAACAAAACCCAACCUGCCUGAGAAUACCACAGUGGAGUGGACUCGCUCUGACCUCGGACUCAUCACAGUCCAUGAGUAUUCUAACAGAAAUGAUGACCUUAUGACUCAGGAUGAAGUUUACACAAAUAGAACAAAGAUGAAUGAAGACCUGCUGAGAACUGGAGACCUCAGUCUGACCCUGAAAUACCCCAAAGUCAAAGACACGGGACGAUACAUCUGCAACAUCUACAGGGACAAAGACAUCCUGAGACAGAAAGUCAUGCUGCAGGUCAAAAAACCAUUUCCAUCCUGGUUCAAAGAUCUUCUGAUUCUCCUGUUUGUCUUUGUGAUUUUUGGAGGUCUUUUAUAUUAUUUACGUCACUAUUACAUGUCAGGUAAGUGUCUUUCCUACUGCACUACCCAUAAUACCAGUGGUUAACCCUUUAAGAUCUACCAUAGAACCAAGCCCGCCAUAGUGAUCUUUAUAUUUUUACAUGCUGUAGUGCCAUUUUUGGGAGCAUUUCAAGUUGCUAUACAUCAAUACAACCGUUAUAGCCCAAAUUUUAAUAAUAUGUAUGCAUUAAGUCUAUAAUAACUACAUAAAUUCUAAAAAAGUGCAAUAAACUACAAAAAAAAAUGAAAAUCUUAUUUCUUACAUAUAUUUCUAGUUAGAGGAAUUUCAGAGGUUUAUCCCUCAAAACUGUAAAUAUUCAUAAUCUUCAUGGUUUCUGUGCUGAUGUGUCUGAGACAUGACUCACUGUGGAGGCUCAGUCUGUCUGUGGAGGUGGAUUCAGGGGUGGCGUCUGUCAAGCUGCCCUGCAAAACUAUAUGUAAAUUCCUAAAACACACUAAAGUGGAGUGGAGGGACAGAAACAACAGGAAGGUCCACGUGUAUCAGAACGGCUCUGACCAGCCUGAAAAACAGCACCGGUUUUACAGAAACCGAACAGAGAUGAAGAGCAUAUCUCUGCUGAAACCUGGAGACCUCAGUCUGAUCCUGACAUAUCCCACGGAUGACGACAACUCCAUCUAUACUUGUACCAUCUACAACAGGAAAGGAAACAUACUGACAAGGAAAAAUGUGCAGCUCCAUGUCAGAGGUCAGUGCUGCUGAUACAGGUCAGAGGUCAGAACAUAGUUUUUACCUUGUUUCUCCCUGAAUCCCACACAGUGCUCAUCUCUGUGGCGUGAAUCAUGACAACCCCAAAUCCAAAUCUGUACAGUGGCUUCGCUCCCAUGACAAACUCUGUUCCCAAUACUCUGUUCUCAGUACAAUACAACUGGCAAACAACACACACACAAAGUUCUCACUAACAAACCCAUCAUGAACUCAACGAUCCAGCACCAACUGAAGUUCAGCCAGUACAGCUGGCGACAUUUGAUGAGCAACACGUGUGUCUGGCUUCUCUUUGUCCUAAUGACGCUUGAAAGCCAGCCUUCCUGAUACACACACAUACACACACACAUCGAGACAUACACAGGGAAAUAAGGGACCUUGAGGAGCCGAGAAAAAACAUACGACAGCAGAGUAUCCUUAUACAGACACACAGGCAGGGCGCAUGAUGAGGACCGCCAGACCAGGAUAAACCCCAAACCCAGAAAUAUCAACAAGUCCAAAACACAAGAGCCCUGGAUCAUCAGACCCAGACCCGUGACAGUGCUGCAAUCAAAUUGCCUCUCUCGGCGUUGACGCUGUCUCCAACAUGAAUGGAAGCAGAUGGUCUUUAUAUUAAUGGAAUCACUGACACAACAGAUCACAUAAAAAAUAAUAAUAAAUCUGCUGGAACUGUCAUACCCCAAAAAGUUGAUCCUGUUCAUCUGUAUGUAGUGUUUUCAGUGGGAGAAACAUUUCAUCUCUCAACCAAGUGACUUCUUCAAUCUCAGCUGACUGCAGGUUUCCCCAAUCUUAUAAACAGUACAUUUGCAUGGAAACUAGCACCACUGAAUGAACAAUGGGCUGGGAGGUUGAUCCUUGAUCAUUAGUAUGCAAAUUCUCAAGACCAUUGAUCAACAACCACUGGUCAAAGACCACUGAUCAAUGGCCAUGAGUACCAUUCACAUAGAGUUGGAGAAUGGCUGCAAUCACAGCAUUGUAAGAUAGCAAAAGAUGUACCCUUAGGCUGCCUCCUCGAUUCAGAGAUGGUCUUUCCCUUUUUACAUAAAUGGCCUCCUUGACUCCGCACUCAAACCAGCGUUCUUCCCUGUCCAGGAUGUGUACAUCCUCAUCAUUGAAAGAGUGUCCAUUGGCCUGUAGGUGUAAAUAGACUGCAGAGUCCUGGCCUGAUGAGGUAGCUCUUCUGUGUUGUGCCAUCCGCUUCGCCAGAGGUUGUUCGGUUUCCCCGAUGUAUAAAUCCUGGCAAUCCUCCUGGCACUUAACAGCGUACACUAUGUUACUAUGUUUGUGUCGGGGGACCCGAUCCUUGGGGUGGACCAAUUUGUGGCGCAGCAAGUUUUGGGGUUUGAAAGCCACAGAGACCCGGUGUUUAGAAAAAAUGUGUCUCAACUCCUCCGAUACUCCUGACACAUAUGGGAUCACUACAGGUUUUCACUUGGGCAGCGGUUGUCCUUCUCUCCUGGAUUGGCUGGAGCUUUCUUUAGAUGCCUUUCCAGCUUUGACAAAAGUCCAGCUGGGAUAAUCACAUUUACUCAGGGCCUUCUUGAUGUGCUGUUCUUCUGCCUCCCUGGCUGCUGUGUCAGUGGGGAUGGUGUUCGCUCUGUGUUGCUCUGUGUCGCUCUGUUCCUUCAGUGGGCUGGUUUCAGUCAUUAUGCAAAUGUACUGUUUAUAAGGUUUGGGGAAACCUGCAGUCAGCUGAGACUGAAGAAGUCACUUGGAUGAGUGACGAAACAUUUCUCCCACAAAACGCUACGUCCAGAUGAACAGAAUCAACUUUUGGAGAUUUACUUUCCUGGAUGUUCUCAAUCAUCCAGGAAAGUAAAUCUCCAAAAGUUGAUUCAAGACGUUCCUAGGAUUAUGUGAUCUAUCUGGUAUUUAAAGCGUUAAAAUUCUGAAUUUGAAUGAAAUUUUGA
RNAcentral lists this long non-coding RNA (3219 nucleotides) under Oreochromis niloticus (Nile tilapia). RNAcentral describes it as "lncRNA (ENSONIG00000035369.1)". Lineage: Eukaryota; Metazoa; Chordata; Actinopteri; Cichliformes; Cichlidae. The record is from RNAcentral.